UACGUAGGGUGCGAGCGUUGUCCGGAAUUAUUGGGCGUAAAGGGCUCGUAGGCGGUUUGUCGCGUCGGGAGUGAAAUCCACUGGCUUAACUGGUGGCUUGCUUUCGAUACGGGCAGACUAGAGUUCGGUAGGGGAGUCUGGAAUUCCUGGUGUAGCGGUGAAAUGCGCAGAUAUCAGGAGGAACACCGGUGGCGAAGGCGGGACUCUGGGCCGAUACUGACGCUGAGGAGCGAAAGCGUGGGGAGCAAACAGG
RNAcentral lists this ribosomal RNA (253 nucleotides) under uncultured bacterium. RNAcentral describes it as "partial 16S ribosomal RNA". It matches the Rfam family "Bacterial small subunit ribosomal RNA", at positions 524 to 776 of the family's 1533-position model. The record is from RNAcentral.